RNAcentral lists this ribosomal RNA (576 nucleotides) under Trichoderma sp. RNAcentral's name for it is "eukaryotic LSU rRNA". The stretch from base 212 to 365 matches the Rfam family "5.8S ribosomal RNA". Lineage: Eukaryota; Fungi; Ascomycota; Sordariomycetes; Hypocreales; Hypocreaceae. The record is from RNAcentral.
AGGGAUCAUUACCGAGUUUACAACUCCCAAACCCAAUGUGAACGUUACCAAACUGUUGCCUCGGCGGGAUCUCUGCCCCGGGUGCGUCGCAGCCCCGGACCAAGGCGCCCGCCGGAGGACCAACCAAAACUCUUUUUGUAUACCCCCUCGCGGGUUUUUUAUAAUCUGAGCCUUCUCGGCGCCUCUCGUAGGCGUUUCGAAAAUGAAUCAAAACUUUCAACAACGGAUCUCUUGGUUCUGGCAUCGAUGAAGAACGCAGCGAAAUGCGAUAAGUAAUGUGAAUUGCAGAAUUCAGUGAAUCAUCGAAUCUUUGAACGCACAUUGCGCCCGCCAGUAUUCUGGCGGGCAUGCCUGUCCGAGCGUCAUUUCAACCCUCGAACCCCUCCGGGGGGUCGGCGUUGGGGAUCGGCCCUGCCUUUGGCGGUGGCCGUCUCCGAAAUACAGUGGCGGUCUCGCCGCAGCCUCUCCUGCGCAGUAGUUUGCACACUCGCAUCGGGAGCGCGGCGCGUCCACAGCCGUUAAACACCCAACUUCUGAAAUGUUGACCUCGGAUCAGGUAGGAAUACCCGCUGAACU